Molecule: transfer RNA, 73 nt
Filed under: Spirochaetia bacterium
Lineage: Bacteria; Pseudomonadati; Spirochaetota; Spirochaetia
Description: tRNA-Met
Rfam family: tRNA
About the family: Transfer RNA (tRNA) molecules are approximately 80 nucleotides in length. Their secondary structure includes four short double-helical elements and three loops (D, anti-codon, and T loops).
Source: RNAcentral
GGCGGCGUAGCUCAGUUGGUGGAGCAAGAGAUUCAUAUCCUCUAGGUCAUUGGUUCGAUCCCAAUCGCCGCUA